This is a long non-coding RNA of Lynx canadensis (Canada lynx), 1363 nucleotides long. RefSeq lists it as uncharacterized. Lineage: Eukaryota; Metazoa; Chordata; Mammalia; Carnivora; Felidae. The transcript has 6 exons. The record is from RefSeq and is a predicted model, not a curated record.
CGUCAAAGACAAAAUGCCGGCUUCGGCCUGGGGGCUGGGGGGGUACAGGUCUGAGGACUGCACCGCGACUCUGCCCACCCCUCUUCUGCUCAACACCCUCCUCUCCCACAAGGAUUCGCGCGCGUCCUCGGGCCCCUUACACUUCGCGACAGGAAGACUGAGGCCGAAGGGAAGCGAACGCUUCUCAGACGUGGUGGCCGGACUGAGACUUUUUCAAACUAAAGGCGCUGAGCCCUGGAACAGUCCCUGAAAAACCCCCUGCACGAGAGAGAAUAUGUCUCAGAGCCUGCCUCCCAGAAAACCCAGCCCGUGAGGGGGAGCACGGGAGGCACUUGCUGUGCGUCCUGCUGACGGAAUGACCCAGGAGAGGGGGAGAGCUCCUAGGUGCCCUGCUGCCUGACCAGCUUCAGAAGGCCACAGGCUCCCACAACAGGUGAACACCACGUGCUCACUAUGCACGGGGACCUUCAAGCAGGGGGCGAGCAGUCUCCGUUCCCAGGGUACCAGCCUUGCCCUGCCCGGAGGCUGCUGCUAGCAAGCCCAGGAAAACAGCACGUCGGGGCCAAGAGUUCCAGCCGGGCUGGAAACAUUAGAAGGGACCGAGGCAGCGAGAUGUCUAAAAUAGGAAGACGCCGGGAAGAUUGGCCUGGCUGCCGGCGACGCUGGCUGCGGGGAUCUGGCCCGGCUGUGCAGACGGAAAAGCUAAGAGCCUAGGCUGGACUGAGCCGGGGAGCCAGAAGCCUAAAAGAAGAAUUGAAACCCACGGAUCUGAAAGCUGGAAGAGUGUACGUACAAGGAGCCAUCUGGUCAGCAGAACCGGGAAAGCCUUUGCAGAGGAGGGGCCAGCCCAACUGGACGGUGAGGGAUGAAGAGGAGUUCGCCACGGCAGACGUAAGGGGUAAGGGCAGGCAACACGACUGCAAGGCAUACCCAACAUUCUGGGCCAGGAGGGCUUUCAAGUUCUUUUCUGUCCUGCGUUCUGAUUUUCUAGCUGAAUCCUGCUGUUAAAGCCUAAAUGGAGCCCAUGGGGAGCCCACAGUGUCCAGCUCCUCCCGGGUCUCUGAGCUGACCCAGAAUAGCCCGUUUCUAGAGCACAAACAGAUGGAGGCCAGGGGUCCGUCCUGGAGCAUCCUGGCUGGCUUGCUCGGGCGAGGACAGCUAAGCUGAGCGGGUCCAAAUCCCAGCUCCCCGUUUACCAGCAAGUGACUCCGCUUCUCAGUGCUUUUGUUUCCUCAUCUGUAAUUGUAGGAUAAGGACGGUCCCAGGUCCCCAGAGGGCUGGCAGGAGAACCGAGUUAAUGCAGAUGGAACUUACAACACUCUUCCCUCCUCCUCUCCUCUCUCCCUCUGCUUUCUCCCCUCCU